This 136-nucleotide small nucleolar RNA is filed under the name Pogona vitticeps (central bearded dragon). RNAcentral describes it as "Small nucleolar RNA SNORA61 (ENSPVIG00000009329.1)". It matches the Rfam family "Small nucleolar RNA SNORA61". From Rfam's summary of the family: ACA61 is a member of the H/ACA class of snoRNA that guide the sites of modification of uridines to pseudouridines. The record is from Rfam by way of RNAcentral. Lineage: Eukaryota; Metazoa; Chordata; Lepidosauria; Squamata; Agamidae.
AACCUCCCUAUCCCUUUCCCAUCAGAUCUGAAUAUGGAUCUUAUGGUCAAAAAGGAGGGAAAGUAAAAUGGAAGCUGGCCCCUUACCUCUUAGUUGGAGAAAAUCCUCCACUAAGGUGGGCUGGCUUGAGACAGUG